RNAcentral lists this ribosomal RNA (508 nucleotides) under Cafius fucicola. Its description in RNAcentral is "partial 16S ribosomal RNA". It matches the Rfam family "Bacterial large subunit ribosomal RNA", at positions 1893 to 2597 of the family's 2925-position model. The record is from RNAcentral. Lineage: Eukaryota; Metazoa; Arthropoda; Insecta; Coleoptera; Staphylinidae.
GUCUUUUUGUUUAUAAUUUAAAGUCUAACCUGCCCACUGAAUUUUUAAAGGCCGCGGUAUUUUGACCGUGCGAAGGUAGCAUAAUAAUUAGUUUUUUAAUUGAAAGCUGGAAUGAAUGGUUGAACGAGGAAAUAGCUGUCUCUGUAUUAAUUGGUUAAAAAUUUAUUUUUAAGUUAAAAAGCUUAAAUUUAUUUAAAAGACGAGAAGACCCUAUAGAGUUUGAUAAAAUUUUUUAUUUAAGGAAAGUUGAAAUAUUUUUAUUUAAAUUUUUGAUUUUAUUUUAUUGGGGUGAUGAAAAAAUUUAUUAAACUUUUUUUAUAUUUGAACAUUAAUGUAUGAUUUAUUGAUCCAUAAAUUAUGAUUAUAAGAUUAAAUUACCUUAGGGAUAACAGCGUAAUUUCUUUAGAGAGUUCUUAUCGAAAAGGAGGAUUGCGACCUCGAUGUUGGAUUAAAAUAAAAGUUUGGUGUAGAGGCUAAAUCUUUGGGUCUGUUCGACCCUUAAAAUUUU